Molecule: ribosomal RNA, 253 nt
Filed under: uncultured bacterium
Lineage: Bacteria
Description: partial 16S ribosomal RNA
Rfam family: Bacterial small subunit ribosomal RNA
Source: RNAcentral
UACGGGGGGGGCAAGCGUUGUUCGGAAUUACUGGGCGUAAAGGGCUCGUAGGCGGCCAACUAAGUCGGAUGUGAAAUCCCCAGGCUCAACCUGGGAACUGCAUCCGAUACUGGAUGGCUUGAAUUCGGGAGAGGGAUGCAGAAUUCCAGGUGUAGCGGUGAAAUGCGCAGAUAUCAGGAGGAACACCGGUGGCGAAGGCGGGUCUCUGGGCCGAUACUGACGCUGAGGAGCGAAAGCGUGGGGAGCGAACAGG